This 459-nucleotide ribosomal RNA is filed under the name uncultured bacterium. Its description in RNAcentral is "partial 16S ribosomal RNA". It matches the Rfam family "Bacterial small subunit ribosomal RNA", at positions 338 to 795 of the family's 1533-position model. The record is from RNAcentral.
CCUACGGGUGGCAGCAGUGAGGAAUAUUGGUCAAUGGUCGCAGGGCUGAACCAGCCAAGCCGCGUGAGGGAUGAAGGUCCUGUGGAUUGUAAACCUCUUUUGUCAGGGAACAAAGAGUGCGACGCGUGGCCUUUUGCGUGUACCUGAAGAAAAAGCAUCGGCUAACUCCGUGCCAGCAGCCGCGGUAAUACGGAGGAUGCGAGCGUUAUCCGGAUUUAUUGGGUUUAAAGGGUGCGCAGGCGGACUGUUAAGUCAGCGGUAAAAUCUCGGGGCUCAACCCCGGCGCGCCGUUGAAACUGGCUGUCUUGAGUGAGCGAGAAGUAUGCGGAAUGCGCGGUGUAGCGGUGAAAUGCAUAGAGAUCGCGCAGAACUCCGAUUGCGAAGGCAGCAUACCGGCUCCCAACUGACGCUCAGGCACGAAAGCGUGGGUAUCGAACAGGAUUAGAUACCCUUGUAGUC